Molecule: ribosomal RNA, 334 nt
Filed under: uncultured Desulfobacterium sp.
Lineage: Bacteria; Pseudomonadati; Thermodesulfobacteriota; Desulfobacteria; Desulfobacterales; Desulfobacteriaceae
Description: bacterial SSU rRNA
Rfam family: Bacterial small subunit ribosomal RNA
Source: RNAcentral
GGCUGUCGUCAGCUCGUGUCGUGAGAUGUUCGGUUAAGUCCCGCGACGAGCGCAACCCCUAUCUCUAGUUGCCAGCGAUUCGGUCGGGGACUCUAGAGAUACUGCCCCGGUUAACGGGAGGAAGGUGGGAUGACGUCAAGUCCUCAUGGCCCUUAUGCCCAGGGCUACACACGUGCUACAAUGGGCGGGUACAAAGGGUAGCGAUGCCGCGAGGUGAAGCCAAUCCCAAAAAGCCGUCCACAGUUCGGAUUGGAGUCUGCAACUCGACUCCAUGAAGCCGGAAUCGCUAGUAAUCGUGGAUCAGCAUGCCACGGUGAAUACGUUCCCGGGCCUU